Long non-coding RNA from Oncorhynchus tshawytscha (Chinook salmon), 971 nucleotides. The record is from Ensembl. Lineage: Eukaryota; Metazoa; Chordata; Actinopteri; Salmoniformes; Salmonidae.
GUAUAUACUCACUAUGUGUAGAGGUGACGGUGAGGUGGUGUGUAGAGGUGAGGUGGUGUGUAGAGGUGAGGGUGUGUAGAGGUGAGGGUGUGUAGAGGUGAGGUGGUGUCUAGAGGUGAGGGUGGUGUGUAGAGGUGAGGUGGUGUCUAGAGGUGGUAUAUACUCACUAUGUGUAGAGGUGACGGUGAGGUGGUCAGGCCGUGGAAGGAGAUACUGUAGUCAACGGUGACGUCACCAAGGCUGGCCCACCACCGGGCGACACAUAACUCUACUGUCCUCCCCGACUAGAGAGGAGAGACACUCAGUCAAAACAGCAUCACAGAGACACAUAACUCUACUGUCCUCCCCGACUAGAGGAGAGACACUCAGUCAAAACAGCAUCACAUAACUCUACUGUCCUCCCCGACUAGAGUGGAGAGACACUCAGUCAAAACAGAAUCACAUAACUCUACUGUCCUCCCCGACUAGAGGAGACACUCAGUCAAAACAGAAUCACAUAACUCUACUGUCCUCCCCGACUAGAGGAGACACUCAGUCAAAACAGCAUCACAUAACUCUACUGUCCUCCCGACUAGAGUGGAGACUCAGUCAAAACAGCAUCACAUAACUCUACUGUCCUCCCGACUAGAGAGGAGAGACACUCAGUCAAAACAGCAUCACAGAGACACAUAACUCUACUGUCCUCCCGACUAGAGGAGAGAUACUCAGUCAAAACAGCAUCACAUAACUCUACUGUCCUCCCCGACUAGAGUGGAGAGACACUCAGUCAAAACAGAAUCACAUAACUCUACUGUCCUCCCCGACUAGAGAGGAGACACUCAGUCAAAACAGCAUCACAUAACUCUACUGUCCUCCCUGACUAGAGAGGAGAGACACUCAGUCAAAACAGCAUCACAUAACUCUACUGUCCUCCCCGACUAGAGAGGAGAGACACUCAGUCAAAACAGCAUCACAGAGACACAUAACUCUAC